UGAUAAAAAAAUAUCAAAAAGUAUUUCAGUGUAACCUUGCCUUUCGAAGGUGGCCAAUUUUGAUUGAGUUAUAAAGAUUCUAGUGCCAGACAGACAAUUCAUCAGAAACAGCAUGGGAAUUUUCAUUGAUGUUCAUGUACUGAAAUGAUUGUUCACAUGAAAAUGUAUUCUUCUUACAAAUUUUGGCUUUUACUUCAUUCAAAUGUAUAACAAGAGU
RNAcentral lists this long non-coding RNA (217 nucleotides) under Mytilus galloprovincialis (Mediterranean mussel). Lineage: Eukaryota; Metazoa; Mollusca; Bivalvia; Mytilida; Mytilidae. The record is from RNAcentral.